RNAcentral lists this ribosomal RNA (440 nucleotides) under uncultured bacterium. RNAcentral's name for it is "partial 16S ribosomal RNA". It matches the Rfam family "Bacterial small subunit ribosomal RNA", at positions 338 to 795 of the family's 1533-position model. The record is from RNAcentral.
CCUACGGGCGGCAGCAGUGGGGAAUAUUGCACAAUGGGGGAAACCCUGAUGCAGCAAUGCCGCGUGAAUGAAGACGGUUUUCGGAUUGUAAACUUCUGUUCUUAGUGAAGAAUAAUGACGGUAGCUAAGGAGCAAGCCACGGCUAACUACGUGCCAGCAGCCGCGGUAAUACGGAGGAUGCGAGCGUUAUACGUAUUUAUUGUGUUUAAAGGGUGCGCAGGCGGAAGAUCAAGUCAGCGGUAAAAUUGAUAGGCUCAACCUCUUCGAGCCGUUGACACUGGUUUUCUUGAGUGAGCGAGAAGUGUGCAGAAUGCGUGGUGUAGCGGUGAAAUGCAUAGAUAUCACGCAGAACUCCGAUUGCGAAGGCAGCAUACCGGCGCUCAACUGACGCUCAUGCACGAAAGUGUGGGUAUCGAACAGGAUUAGAUACCCGAGUAGUC